GACGAACGCUGGCGGCGUGCUUAACACAUGCAAGUCGAACGGAAAGGCGCUGCUUUUGUGGGGUGCUCGAGUGGCGAACGGGUGAGUAACACGUGAGUAACCUGCCCUUGACUUUGGGAUAACUUCAGGAAACUGGGGCUAAUACCGGAUAGGAGCUCCUGCUGCAUGGUGGGGGUUGGAAAGUUUCGGCGGUUGGGGAUGGACUCGCGGCUUAUCAGCUUGUUGGUGGGGUAGUGGCUUACCAAGGCUUUGACGGGUAGCCGGCCUGAGAGGGUGACCGGCCACAUUGGGACUGAGAUAGGGACCAGACUCCUACGGGAGGCAGCAGUCGGGAAUAUUGCACAAUGGGCGGAAGCCUGAUGCAGCAACGCCGCGUGCGGGAUGACGGCCUUCGGGUUGUAAACCGCUUUCGCAUGUGACGAAGCGUGAGUGACGGUAAUGGGUAAAGAAGCACCGGCUAACUACGUG
This 468-nucleotide ribosomal RNA is filed under the name uncultured bacterium. RNAcentral describes it as "partial 16S ribosomal RNA". It matches the Rfam family "Bacterial small subunit ribosomal RNA", at positions 28 to 507 of the family's 1533-position model. The record is from RNAcentral.